Molecule: ribosomal RNA, 405 nt
Filed under: uncultured prokaryote
Description: bacterial SSU rRNA
Rfam family: Bacterial small subunit ribosomal RNA
Source: RNAcentral
UGGGGGAUAUUGCGCAAUGGGGGAAACCCUGACGCAGCAACGCCGCGUGAAGGAAGAAGGUCUUCGGAUUGUAAACUUUUUUGACGAGGGACGAAAAAAAUGACGGUACCUCGAAAACAAGCUCCGGGUAACUACGUGCCAGCAGCCGCGGUAAUACGUAGGGAGCGAGCGUUGUCCGGAAUUACUGGGUGUAAAGGGCGUGUAGGCGGGCUGUCAAGUCAGAUGUGAAAUUCCCGGGCUUAACCUGGGCGCUGCAUGUGAAACUGAUGGUCUUGAGUACUGGAGAGGAAAGCGGAAUUCCUAGUGUAGCGGUGAAAUGCGUAGAUAUUAGGAGGAACACCAGUGGCGAAGGCGGCUUUCUGGACAGUAACUGACGCUGAGGCGCGAAAGCGUGGGGAGCAAACA